Molecule: ribosomal RNA, 167 nt
Filed under: uncultured eukaryote
Lineage: Eukaryota
Description: partial small subunit ribosomal RNA
Rfam family: Eukaryotic small subunit ribosomal RNA
Source: RNAcentral
GUACACACCGCCCGUCGCUACUACCGAUUGAACGUUUUAGUGAGGUCUCGGGACCGGCGGCUAGGAGCUGGCAACAGCACCUUGCUGCUGGGAACUUGCUCAAACUUGAGCGUUUAGAGGAAGUAAAAGUCGUAACAAGGUUUCCGUAGGUGAACCUGCAGAAGGAU